RNAcentral lists this ribosomal RNA (319 nucleotides) under uncultured eukaryote. RNAcentral's name for it is "partial 18S ribosomal RNA". It matches the Rfam family "Eukaryotic small subunit ribosomal RNA", at positions 1470 to 1796 of the family's 1831-position model. The record is from RNAcentral.
CCCUUAGAUGUUCUGGGCCGCACGCGCGCUACACUGAAUGGAUCAACGUGUUUUCCCUUCCCGAGAGGGACGGGUAACCCGCUGAACCCCAUUCGUGGUAGGGAUCGGAGCUUGCAAUUGUUCUCCGUGAACCAGGAAUUCCCAGUAAGCGCAAGUCAUAAGCUUGCGUUGAUUACGUCCCUGCCCUUUGUACACACCGCCCGUCGCUACUACCGAUUGAAUGGUCCGGUGAAAUCUCGGGACGGCGGCUUGGUCGCUUGCGUCCGACUGCUGAAACUUGAUUAAACCAUAUCAUUUAGAGGAAGGUGAANUCGUAACA